AUGGAGAAAUGGUUCCAGUUGUAUGUUACUGACACUAUGUUUACAAUCCUUCAAUCAUAUUGCAUUAUAAUGGAGAAAUGGUUCCAGUUGUAUGUUACUGACACUAUGUUUACAAUCCUUCAAUCAUAUUGCAUUAUAAUGGAGAAAUGGUUCCAGUUGUAUGUUACUGACACUAUGUUGAAACACUGGCCACUGAUUUCUUGGAAAGCACUUCAGAUCUGUAGAUUUUAUGAAACAAAUCUUCACUCUUAAGCCACUUAACAUUUUUGGGGGGUUGCAUAGAGUCUCCUUUGGGGGGGCUUCUCCCUCCCUUUAGCCCCCCUCGGCUUGGAGGUUGUAUUCAGUUGGAUAAGGGGCCAGGCUCUGGGCUCCUGGUGGCUUUUUUUUUUCCUCACUGCCCCUCCUUUGGUCUUUGGUCUCCCCCCAACCCACCACCUUUUGCUUUUCGUAUGUGUGCAUUUUUAAAAAUAAAUCCUGAUUUUGGAAGCUGAGCCGGGGAAAAUGGGCAACGGUGAUUGGGACCGAAGGGGAGUCUCUCCGUCACUGUUGCUGGGACGCGUGCCUGUGCUGGUGUCUUAGAGCAAGAGCCUCCCUGAGCUUUCGGAGUGGAAGGUAAGGAAGGGGGUCCGGGGGUCACCUUCCCUCUGCCGGGGGUCGCCCCCCGUGAAGCUUUGGGCUUAAUGUUUGAGAAGGGAGGAAAAAGAAAGGAAACGCUGUUGCUGGCGGAUGGGGAGGCUGUGAGCAAAUCCGGCUGUCUAAACGCCGCAGUUGAAAAGUUAGAGAAGUCUGGUUUUCAAGAGAGGUGCUGGGUCGGAAGGAAUAAGUAGAGAGAGCUAGAAAACCUGGCAGUUUUGUGUGAUUGGGGUAAUUUUAUCGGGGGAAAAAUUUUAGGUUAAAAGGAAGUUAAGAAAAGGCAGUGGGUCUUCUAUUGGGGGGAAAAUCUGUGGAGUGAUGGCGCCGUCUAUGUUCGACUAAACUAAAGUGUCACCCAGAAAAUCAGUUUUGAGAAUAGCUAAACUCAAUGUUGGUUUGCUUCUCAGCAAGAGGUAAAUAAAUAAAUAAAUAAAUAAAACAUCCUUGACACCUCCGUGGCCAGCCUUUACCCCCGCCCCCACCCCUUCUUUAAAAUGGAAAUACAGUUUUUUGAACGGGCCCUGCAGUCUAAAGGGGGGUAGGGGAAUGAUUUUUUUUCUUAUUAUUUACAACAAAACAAGACUCUGUACUCCAGACUGAUUAAAAAUAAAGAGCAUUAUAUUGAGGGCGCUCUCUCGAGCAGGCAUUAAAGUGAAUUCAGAGCUAUUUCCUCAUUCUUUCUGAUCAUUGAUGAGCACGGCAUUGCAGACAUGCACUGUCAAAUAAAUGGAAGCAAAAGUACCAAUUUCAUUAAGAAAAGACAUACGACCUCUU
Molecule: long non-coding RNA, 1407 nt
Filed under: Callithrix jacchus (white-tufted-ear marmoset)
Lineage: Eukaryota; Metazoa; Chordata; Mammalia; Primates; Cebidae
Description: lncRNA (ENSCJAG00000083738.1)
Source: RNAcentral